GACGGAAGGUGCAAGCGUUGCUCGGAAUCACUGGGCGUAAAGGGUGCGUAGGCGGCCGCGCAAGUCUGGCGUGAAAGCCCCGGGCUCAGCCCGGGAAGGGCGCUAGAAACUGCGAGGCUCGAGUGCCGGAGGGGAGAGUGGAAUUCCCAGUGUAGCGGUGAAAUGCGUAGAUAUUGGGAAGAACACCGGAGGCGAAGGCGGCUCACUGGGGCUUUUCUGACGCUGAGGAACGAAAGCCAGGGGAGCGAACGGG
RNAcentral lists this ribosomal RNA (253 nucleotides) under uncultured bacterium. RNAcentral's name for it is "partial 16S ribosomal RNA". It matches the Rfam family "Bacterial small subunit ribosomal RNA", at positions 524 to 776 of the family's 1533-position model. The record is from RNAcentral.